Molecule: transfer RNA, 71 nt
Filed under: Loxodonta africana (African savanna elephant)
Lineage: Eukaryota; Metazoa; Chordata; Mammalia; Proboscidea; Elephantidae
Rfam family: tRNA
About the family: Transfer RNA (tRNA) molecules are approximately 80 nucleotides in length. Their secondary structure includes four short double-helical elements and three loops (D, anti-codon, and T loops).
Source: Rfam by way of RNAcentral
GCAUUGGUGGUUCAGUGGGAGAAUUCUCCUCUUCUGUGAUGGAGACUCAGGUUCAAUUCCCAGCCAAUGCA